RNAcentral lists this unclassified non-coding RNA (245 nucleotides) under Hevea brasiliensis (rubber tree). The record is from RNAcentral. Lineage: Eukaryota; Viridiplantae; Streptophyta; Magnoliopsida; Malpighiales; Euphorbiaceae.
GAACUUCACUAGACAUAGCCAUUCUGAAAUAGAAAUAAAAUUUCUAAAAGAAGGGCACAAUAUACAUCAGAAUAAAUUGCAUUCAAUAAAAUUCCUUUGGGAAAUUUAGGACUAAAGGUCUAAAAUCAUGAUGGUAGAAAGGUUAUCUACUUUUGUUGGACAUGAUAACUCAUACAGGCAAUUUAAUCUUAAUAUGCAUAGGUUUCUUGAUCAUAGAAUUAAAAAAAAAAAUUAAAAAGAAAAGA